This 484-nucleotide ribosomal RNA is filed under the name uncultured bacterium. Its description in RNAcentral is "partial 16S ribosomal RNA". It matches the Rfam family "Bacterial small subunit ribosomal RNA", at positions 30 to 507 of the family's 1533-position model. The record is from RNAcentral.
AUUGAACGCUAGCGGGAUGCUUUACACAUGCAAGUCGAACGGCAGCGCGGACUUCGGUCUGGCGGCGAGUGGCGAACGGGUGAGUAAUGUAUCGGAACGUGCCCAGUAGCGGGGGAUAACUACGCGAAAGCGUAGCUAAUACCGCAUACGCCCUACGGGGGAAAGCAGGGGAUCGUAAGGCCUUGCACUAUUGGAGCGGCCGAUAUCGGAUUAGCUAGUUGGUGAGGUAACGGCUCACCAAGGCGACGAUCCGUAGCUGGUUUGAGAGGACGACCAGCCACACUGGGACUGAGACACGGCCCAGACUCCUACGGGAGGCAGCAGUGGGGAAUUUUGGACAAUGGGGGCAACCCUGAUCCAGCCAUCCCGCGUGUGCGAUGAAGGCCUUCGGGUUGUAAAGCACUUUUGGCAGGAAAGAAACGUCGCGGGCUAAUACCCCGUGGAACUGACGGUACCUGCAGAAUAAGCACCGGCUAACUACGUG